RNAcentral lists this ribosomal RNA (511 nucleotides) under uncultured bacterium. Its description in RNAcentral is "bacterial SSU rRNA". It matches the Rfam family "Bacterial small subunit ribosomal RNA", at positions 19 to 518 of the family's 1533-position model. The record is from RNAcentral.
AUGGCUCAGGAUAAACGCUGGCGGCGUGCUUAACACAUGCAAGUCGAACGGAGUAUCCUUCGGAAGAUCAAAGAGCUUGCUCGGAGAGAUUCUUGGAAUACUUAGUGGCGGACGGGUGAGUAACGCGUGGGUAACCUGCCUCACACAGGGGGAUAACAGUUGGAAACGACUGUUAAUACCGCAUAAGCGCACAGUACCGCAUGGUACAGUGUGAAAAAACUCCGGUGGUGUGGGAUGGACCCGCGUCUGAUUAGCUGGUUGGUGAGGUAACGGCCCACCAAGGCGACGAUCAGUAGCCGGCCUGAGAGGGUGUACGGCCACAUUGGGACUGAGACACGGCCCAAACUCCUACGGGAGGCAGCAGUGGGGAAUAUUGCACAAUGGGGGAAACCCUGAUGCAGCCGACGCCGCGUGAGUGAAGAAGUAUUUCGGUAUGUAAAGCUCUAUCAGCAGGGAAGAUAAUGACGGUACCUGACUAAGAAGCACCGGCUAAAUACGUGCCAGCAGCCGC